UUAUAUGUUUUCAAAUAUACAAAAUAAAAAUGCUAACACAUUUUUAUUUCGUCAAUUAAAUUUUAUUAAUAUUUUUGUGUUUUAAAGUGCGGAUCAUAAUCUAGUUCAUCUUUAAAAGGUAAUACCAUUUACAUGUGAUGCAAGAUCUUUUUGCUUCUAGAACAACUUCACUAUCUACUGGUGCAACCUUUCAAAUGGAACAAACCAAGAAUCAAGCAAAUAAGGUUUACAUGCAACCAAAAGAUUUAAGUACAAUAUUUCCGCGCUUUUAAAGCGCGGAUCAUAAUCUAGUUCAUCUUUAAAAGGUAAUAUCGUUUACAUGUGAUGCAAGAUCUUUUUGCCUCUAGAACAAUUUCACUAUCUACUGGUACAACCUUUCAAAUGGGAAAAACCAAGAAUCAAGCAAAUAAGGUUUACAUGCAACCAAAAAAUCUAAGUACAACAUCACUUUUUUUUUCCAAGGACUAAAACGAAACAAAUACAUCCAAGAAGAAGUUGAGUAUUGCAAUUAAGAAAAUUACAAGAACGGUAGCUAAUAAAUCAC
This 544-nucleotide long non-coding RNA is filed under the name Brassica napus (rape). Its description in RNAcentral is "long non-coding RNA (BNAP_LNC025780)". Lineage: Eukaryota; Viridiplantae; Streptophyta; Magnoliopsida; Brassicales; Brassicaceae. The record is from RNAcentral.